Long non-coding RNA from Triplophysa dalaica, 271 nucleotides. RefSeq lists it as uncharacterized. NCBI's taxonomy places the organism in Eukaryota, Metazoa, Chordata, Actinopteri, Cypriniformes, Nemacheilidae. The record is from RefSeq and is a predicted model, not a curated record. The transcript is spliced from 3 exons.
GUUUCAAGGUGGACAGCAAACACAGAACCACACACACUCCAGAAGGAUGGUUCCUCCUGUGGAAUAUUUGUCCUUAGAAUAAUAAACAAAAGUAUGCAGAGAAAAUACUUGCUGGAGAGCCUCUUCAAUUUUCAAAUGACCCCUCUGCGGCUGAAAAAUACAGAAGACAGGUGGCGUUGACACUCCUAAACGAGACAGAUGACCUCAGUGAGCUUUGCCACUAUUGUGGGGAGAAGGAUGCAGGGCAAGGAAGGACAACUGCCAAAAAAAA